AGAUUUACACCAGCUUCAAAUGCUGAGCUGAAAGCACGCACACAGAGGUGCAUGCACCAGGUUGUGUGAGCGACUGAAGACGCUUGGACAGCAGUGUGGAGAAUGGCAAUUUUAAGAACUUCUCCAUUGGAAAGCAAAAAUGAGUUGAAGCCAUCUGUUUCAGAAAGAACACUUCUGCAGAAUGUAGAACACUUCUAUAGAAGUUUCUGUUCCACGGAAAACCUGAAUGUUGCUAACCCUUCUGAGAACCACUAAUUAACUCCAAUUUCUACUACUCUUGGCAGAUGUUCAGGGUGCUCAGCAUCUCACAAGGAUUUUACCAUGAAUCUCACCAGAAUGGAGCAUCUAAUUUAACCCAAACAAAAUUAAUUUGCUGUGUUGAAUCUGAGGCAGCAACCAUCUCACGAGAGAGAGUCUAACCUAUAAAAGAAUAGCUACAGUGCAGAGCUUGGGUAUCCUCAGGACACAACGACGGGACCAAAUGAGGAUACAGAGUGCAGGAUCUGCAAAUUAAAAUGCUUCAAUUUUCAGAAAUUGGGUACAUACAGUGUGCAGAUACAAGCCUAGUUCUGAAAAUUCACAAACCCAUCAGAACCGAUGGCACCAUCUUAUUUCUUAAAUCCAAAGAAGAACACCACUCCGUACUCCUGUUGUACUGAAUCCAUCCGGAGUUCUCUACCGCUUGGUAUGUAAAGCUGUGCUUUGAGGAGGGAAGGCAGAGCAAACCACAGAGCUUCAGAGAAACCAGAUGCACACAUAAAGCAAGAAGUGGAGGUCAUGAAAAAAUGCCAGAAUUUUGUGAAGGAAGAAGGCGGCACACUGUGCCAACCACAGCCAACCACAGGAAAAAAAAAAAUGGAAGGCAGAAAAAAGUAAUGGGAAUAGAUACAAACCCUUGCUAAGCCUACUGGAAUAUGGACUUCAAUAACAAGAGUUUCAUUUAGAACAGAGAUGGGUUGUAAAACAACAGCAUCUAGUGAGUAAUCUGCUGGUCUGUGAAGCCAUCCCUCUCCAUUAGGCACUCCUAAAAGCAAGCUGUCAUCUAACAUCAAAAGCCUUGCCCUGACUUUGCACCUUUUAAGCCCUCAAAUGAGCACUGAAGCCCACAGAAGUUUUAUGCAGGCUUUCUGCAGCCUGGUGCUGGUCAGCCCGGACCACAGGGCCAACAUUUUUCUCAGCAAUACUGGUUCUCCAUAGCAGGAUCGUUCAGGCUGGAUGAGAGCAUGAGUCACCUGGAGUUGGGAUCAUCAUGUUCUUUCAAAGAAAAAGAGGGUUUGUUCUCUAUGUGAAAACAUCCAGUGGCUGGAUAUAGCCUCUCUGCACAGGGACACAGUCCAGCUAGAUACUCUGUGUUGUCACGUGCCCUUUAGAGAAUAGAGAAGAUGAUGGUUAAGGUUGUAGAAAUGCUAGCACAUGGAAUCACUUUUCAUAACCUGAAUAAAUAAUUUUCAGAGC
This 1455-nucleotide long non-coding RNA is filed under the name Gallus gallus (chicken). RNAcentral's name for it is "lncRNA (ENSGALG00010016590.1)". Lineage: Eukaryota; Metazoa; Chordata; Aves; Galliformes; Phasianidae. The record is from RNAcentral.